GACGAACGCUGGCGGCGUGCUUAACACAUGCAAGUCGAACGGAAAGGCCCUGCUUUUGUGGGGUGCUCGAGUGGCGAACGGGUGAGUAACACGUGAGUAACCUGCCCUUGACUUUGGUAUAACUUCAGGAAACUGGGGCUAAUACCGGAUAGGAGCUCCUGCUGCAUGGUGGGGGUUGGAAAGUUUCGGCGGUUGGGGAUGGACUCGCGGCUUAUCAGCUUGUUGGUGGGGUAGUGGCUUACCAAGGCUUUGACGGGUAGCCGGCCUGAGAGGGUGACCGGCCACAUUGGGACUGAGAUACGGCCCAGACUCCUACGGGAGGCAGCAGUGGGGAAUAUUGCACAAUGGGCGGAAGCCUGAUGCAGCAACGCCGCGUACGGGAUGACGGCCUUCGGGUUGUAAACCGCUUUCGCCUGUGACGAAGCGUGAGUGACGGUAAUGGGUAAAGAAGCACCGGCUAACUACGUG
Molecule: ribosomal RNA, 468 nt
Filed under: uncultured bacterium
Lineage: Bacteria
Description: partial 16S ribosomal RNA
Rfam family: Bacterial small subunit ribosomal RNA
Source: RNAcentral